This 270-nucleotide long non-coding RNA is filed under the name Gallus gallus (chicken). The record is from RNAcentral. Lineage: Eukaryota; Metazoa; Chordata; Aves; Galliformes; Phasianidae.
GUGCUGAGCGUGUACAUUUUUUCAUAGAAGUCAGCAAUUUCCAUCCGAGCCUAGCUUCUGGCCCAGGAAGGUCAUGCUGUGGUAGGCCUUCUCGGCGGCGGCCAGGUGCGCCAGCCCCGCCAGCAGGGCCAGCCAGCUGGCUCCCGCGCUCUUGUUGGCCUCACGUUCCUUCUCCACGUUGUCCUUGGCCUUAUCGUACGAGAAGAUGCCCAGGUGGGAGAAGAAAGUCUCCAGCACCGCCUGCUCCACCGGCACGGGCGCACCCAGCGG